Molecule: transfer RNA, 76 nt
Filed under: bacterium
Lineage: Bacteria
Also listed under: 3 other names
Description: tRNA-Thr
Rfam family: tRNA
About the family: Transfer RNA (tRNA) molecules are approximately 80 nucleotides in length.
Source: RNAcentral
GCCGAUGUAGCUCAGCUGGUAGAGCAGCUCACUCGUAAUGAGCAGGUCUGGGGUUCGAGUCCCCACAUCGGCUCCA